Molecule: ribosomal RNA, 8543 nt
Filed under: Chlorella variabilis
Lineage: Eukaryota; Viridiplantae; Chlorophyta; Trebouxiophyceae; Chlorellales; Chlorellaceae
Description: 23S ribosomal RNA
Source: RNAcentral
CAUAUCACUAUGAAUAUACAUUUCGCCUAUUACGUAGUAGUCUUCUACGAACUCAAAAACUUGUUUUGAGAAACGAAUUCCUGCUUGAGAUGCUUUCAGCAGUUCUACGUUCCGAACGUAGCUACUCAGCGAUGCUGCUGGCGCAACAACUGAUACACUAGAGGUUCGUCAUUCCCGGUCCUCUCGUACAAGGGAAUGGUUCUCUCAAUUUUUCACACCCGAAAAAGAUAGGAUCCGUACUGUCUCCACUUGAUUCCAUCAUCAACAUUUCAAACAAAAUCUGACCUUAGGAACCCUUGAUCACUCAAGGAAUUUCCCUUAUUACUAAGGGCGUAGACUAUACCAUCAUCUCGUUGGUAGAACGAGAGUCGCCGUGUUAUAACUUGUCUGUUACAAAAUCAAGCUAUCCUGCCAUUUCUAGCAAAGUCGUUACGGGGUUAUAAGAGAUGUGAAACAUCUGGUAAUUUUUUUUUCAGCCAUGCUUGGAAUCUUUUUUAUCAGUGGUGACACUAAAGCGUAAAAGGUCACAUAAUUUGAACCACUUAUUGCAAGACGUUUUUGAACAAGAACUUUUUUACUAGUCCCACUUGUAUAGGAUUGAGUCUGAAUUCUAAAAUUGACAAAGAAUGUUUCUUGAAUUCGAGUAAUCUCAUCUGAAGUAUAACUAUCAACAGUAAAAAUUACUCCAGAACGGACACCAGAACUUCUACCGCCAUCAUCAAGAAACCAAAUAGCUAAAGCAAUAGCAUCUAAAUUUUUUUCAAAAUCUUUUGGUAAUUUUUUUUUUUGUUUCAUCAUAAAAAAGAGAUCUCUACUGACUAAAAAAACUACGAGUGUAAAAUCUAUAACUGUAAGACUCACAUUGAGUUCGUUUAUCAAAGCGUGUAACCAAACUCGGUUGUUUUCCUGUUGUGAGAGAUUUCAAUUCUUGAAAAAGCCAAAAAAUCUCCUCUUUAUGAACAUGAGAUUGUUCAAAUUGAAUUGUUCCUUUGGGAUACAAAGAAGCAUCACCAAGAAGAGAUCCAUAAAGGAGAGAUUUUUGAAAAGGUGUUAAAAGAAUUUGCUGCAUAAUUAGAAUUUCUUGUUUUUUUCUUAAACUUCCCACGGUAUUCCCCUCUGAGUGUACGAAACUCAAAGGGCUCCACCGUUAUGAGGCGAAUUUUUCAUAAAGUUCACACUUUAUGGUCGCAAUAAAGUUUUGUGUGUGUUUACGACGUACUAAACCCAACUCACGUACCGCUUUCAUCGGCGAACAGCCGAACCCUUCGAACCUUCUUCAGCUCGAGGAUGCGAUGAGUCGACCAGUUAUGUUAUCAUUUAGGCUCUUUAUCCUAAAUUUCUACUCUUCACAGAGUAGCUCAGACUAUGUCAUUACCUUACUUUUUUGAAUUGGGAAGUUUAUAAAGCAUACUUGGGAUGAGAUACUGUUUGAUUAGAGCAGCGAGGUUCUCACUAUCUUGACGAGGAAAUUCAAUCACCUAAUAGUGUGUUUUAUGUAAAAUCACACGAUAAUGGAGAGAAAAUUUCUUAUUUAAUUCUGUUGAUAAAACAGAAUUUUCCUGUAAAGAAAAACUUUGAGUAUCAAGAAUCAGCGUAAGGUUAUCUUUUUGCAGACUUCCAUCACACAUAAUCCAAUAAGCUAAUCCUUUUGGAGUUAAAAAGUCACGAACAAGUCCUUCCUUUAUUCUUUUUUUCCAUUUUCCAUUGAUUUUUUCGUGAAUUAAAAGAAAUAAAUGAGUAAAAUCAGGAAAAGAAAACGUUUUAAACCAAUAACUUUUCACAUUUCUAUCUUUUUCAUAUCUGAUUCCAGGCUCUACCAUAAAACAAUACCUUGAAAACAAAUCGAAAAGAUGAAACAGAAAUUCUUUUUGUUUAACCCCUUGCUCAAAUUUUAUCAAUGCUUCACGACUAGCGUACUACAUUGUGGCAUCACCUAAAAUCAUUCCUGCGGCUGUAUCAAAACAGUCUUGCGGUAAUUUUGGGAGAGUUUUUUUAUAAUUUUGCCAAUAGGGAGAAUUCAAAUGAUAUCCAUCUCUUGUGUUUUUUAUAAGUUUACUCAUAAUUCAAAAAAAUAUGGUAGCGGGCGCUCGUGGAGAGGGUAUUGAUAGGAAGUUCUCACUCUCUAGUCGUUGAACGUUCAUUGUUACUUUUUUUUUCCAUUCACAAUGCUUCGCUGCAAAUUGUCUUUUUCUCGGGUAAUCGAAAAAGAGAUUCUUGCAAUUCACCCACUUUAGCCUCGACUAUGGCUUUUGUAAUCGCAUAAUGUUAAUUGAGUUUUUUGUUUUCUAGAUUUUUAUGAAACCAAGAAGUAGGAAUUUUAUACAUCAUAGAAGGAUGAAUAAAGGGAAUCAAGAGUUUCCCAAAAGUGAUUGCAUUUUUUCCACGACCACUUAUGUAAAUUCUAAGUGUUUUACGUUGAAAAAAAGUUGAAGUUUUUACUCCAUAGAGAGUUGUUAACACAGCCGCAAGUCUUUUCACUUCUUGAUGUGUAAAACAAUCGGUACAGAAUCUUACUCCUGAAGAACGCCCUUUCCAUUUUUGACUUCCAUCAUCCAUGUACCAAUAAGCAAGAGCUUGUGGUGUUAACCAUCGAUGAAUCAGUCGAGGAACCUUUUUGGUGUUGGUUUGGUUUCCAAAUUCGUCAAAUUUGGACGUGUAAAAUUCUUUUUUAUAGAACCGAAAUUCUGAAAAAAAUCGUGUAUCACACUCCCAGACACCUGUUUGUUUAUUUUGACGAGGUUUUGCUGUGAUAUAGUUUUGAAAAACAUCACAUAAAUGAUCAAAAUAGAAUUUAUUUUUUUGUCGAAGUGAUAAACGAGCUUUUGUUUGAUUCCUGUUCCAACUUAAUGAUGCAUCACCUAAUAAAAUUCCUAUUAAAAUUUCUUUUUGUAAUUGACUAAAUUGCAUAAAAAUAAAUCUCAACGUUCCUUAAACUUUUGGGUUGAUUCCUCACUUGGUUCUUUCAUUUCCAAAUUAGAAGAAUUAUGGAAUAAAAUCAACUGAAAGAAUUUGAUACAUUUGGAACCAUAUGGAACAAACCAUAUGGAACCAAGUGAACGGCAAAGAAAACACCAAAGCUCUUUAGUGUUUAAGGAAUCCUUCUAAUCGCUUAGAAGAUCAGACUAUAUCAUCUAUCAAAAGGUGUUUCUAAAUGUAUUCAAGUGAAAGACACAUUGAAAAUGUAUCAGUCUUUUGAUAGUGAAGCGUGUAGUCGUUGAGGGGUACUUUCAAGUACUUCCCUGCUGAUUGUCCGCACUAGAUUUCUUUUUCUGUCAGAUAUCUGAAACUCAGAUUUUGACAAGCGUCUCUAGAUACAUCGGAGGUUCCAGCAUAUAGCUUCAUUCUCACCAGAUUUAUUCAAAUCUGGGACCCCAUUACAAGGUGCCAAACGACUCCGUCGAUAAGAGCUCUUGGGAGUCAUCAGCCUGUUCAAUUGUGUUACCAUAAAGGCUCUUUAUCCUUUAUUUCUCUAUGUUUCCAUAGAGUUCAGACUAUGUCAUCAACUCUGUGCUUUUUGGGACUUUAUGGCGCAUAGAUGGAAUCACAUACUCUCCGAUUAAAUCCAACAUCUUCGCAUGAUCAUGACCUGAGAUCACAAUGAUCCAUUUUUUUUGUUUUGUUUAGGCCAACACUUUAAUCGAAAUUUUUCCUCUAAACCUUGACACAACAGUUCUACUUGAUUUUGAGAAAAACUAUGAGUGUUUAAGACAAAUCCUUUUCGUUCAUAGUCCUUAUUAUAACUUAAUCUUCCUCCAUCGUCCAUAAACCAAUACGCAAGACCUUUUUGAAAAUUGGUCCAAUUUUCAAGAGGUGUGAGAUAUUUCUCAAUAAGGCCGUGUUGAAUAUGUUUUUGGCUUCGAUUUCCGUCACGAUCAAGAAUAAAAAGUGUUGCUAAUGAGCAAAAUUCACUAUGAGAAAUCGUUUGAAAUGACCACAUAGCUUGUGUUGGGUCAUAAAAAGGUCGUGAAGAAAGAACCCACUCAGAAUAGAGACUAUGUAAAUGCCAUAAAUAGUCACGGUGACGAGCAUCCGAUUGUUGAAAUUUCAAUCGAUAUGUUUUUCCACCAUUUUGAGUUUGAAUUGAGGCAUCACCUAGAAGCGUCCCUAUACUUAUAUCAAAAAGAUGUUGUGAUAAAGAGAGGUUUUUUUUAUAUUCUUCAAGAAGGGUUCUCUGAAAUUGUGUUGGUUUUUAUGUCAUAAAGUCUGUAAAGAGAGUUGCUGGGCGCUCGUGGAGAGAUUAUUGAUAGGAAAUUCUCACUCUCUAGUCGUUGAACGUUCAUUUCUACAGUAGUAUCCUUUUGAAAUGCUUCGCUGCAAGUUGGCAUGGUGAUGAUCAUCACUGAAGCGUUCUUGCAAUUCACCCAGUCUUUUUUAUCUUGAGAGGUUUUCUCAAGAAACGCACGUUCUUCUCACAAAAAACGAGGACUAACAGAAUUAAUCCCUAGCGUACCUUUGAUCCGUUGAUCGAGAGCCUUUCCACCAAGAACUCCCGGGUCACUAUGGCCGACUUUCGUCUCUGCUUGACUUGUAAGUCUUACAGUCAGGCAAGCUUCUACCAUUACGCUCUUCAGCUGAUUUCCGUCCAGCUUGAGCUUACCUUCGCACACUUCCGUUACUCUUUAGGAAGCGACCGCCCCAGUCAAACUACCCAUUUAACAUGGUCCCUUUUUCUGUUCCAAAUUAUUCUAAUUUGUUUCCAUUUUUUAAUAAAAAAUGGAACAAAAUUGGAAGAUUUUUUUUAAGGUUAGAAAAAUGAGAAAAAAAGGGUGGUAUUUCAUUGAUGUUUUUCUUCAAUGAACUGAAAAAAAACUCCCACCUAUUCUACACAUUUAGACUCUUUUUUCAAUGCUAAAUUAUAGUAAAGGUGCAUAGGGUCUUACCGUCUACUUUCGGGAACUCCGCAUCUUCACGGAGAAUUCAAUUUCACUGAGAUCAUGUUGGAGACAGCGGGGAAGUCGUGACACCAUUCAUGCAGGUCGGAACUUCAUGUCUCACAAAUCUUGUUUGUAUGACUGUGUUAACUUUAUGUUUCCAUAAAGAUCAGACUAUACCUUCACCUUAUCUCGACUUGGUAGGUUUUUUCAAAACCAUAAAAUCGGAAGAAAACUGAUAAGGGUCGACGUGUUGCCUUCUAAAAAAGAAAGCCUCUCCUUUCGGAUCAGUCGUUACGGGGUUUGAUAAAAGAUUUUUAUAAUGUUUUCUACUACGAUUAUCAAACUUCCCACGGGAUUACCAUGAUUUGCCUGUUUAUCACAAAUUGUAGGCUUCCCCCGUUAUGAGUCGAUUUACUAGUUUUUCCAAAUUUACUAAAUUUGGAAUGAAAAUUGAUCCAAUUUUCACAAGGCUUUAUAAAAAUUAAUUGAUUUUAUAAAACUUGAAACACAAUUUAUUACUAAACUUUCGGGCAAGUUUCCGUUUACCCGACAAGGAAUUUCGCUCAGUUAAUCUUUUUAUUUUCAUAAAAAGCUGGACUCUAUCUUAGAUUUUUUGUGCUUUAAGAAUUGGUUGAGUUUGUUUUAUUUAGUUCUUAAAAAAAAAAAAAAAGAAAUUAUCAAAUUUAAAAAUUUUGAGAUUUGUUCUCUUUAGUAUUCAUGGUUUGUUGAAUUUCACGAAUUUUUACUAAUCCUUCUGAAGUGAGGUGACGUUUUUCUUCUAUCAUAUUUAUUACAGUACGAAAUUUUUCAAAAUCAACACGUUUCUUAGUAAGUAACUUGUGUUUUUCAAAAAAAGGAACUAUAAUUUUUUGAAGAUGUUGAAAUCCACGAACCCGAUAACAAUAUCGAUCACCAUGAUUCACUCGUACAACACCACAUCCAAAAUAUUUUUUAAGUGCAUGAAGUACUUGAAUAUCUCGUUUAUGUUGUGUGACUGUAAAUUCAGGAAGAACUUGGUAUCCACAUUUCAAAGUGUUGUUCUGAUUGAUUCCAAUGUGAAAACAUCCUUCACCAUCAACAAAUCCUACUAUCCAUUCUGUUUGUAAAUUCAUAAAUUCUUUUUUUUUGCAACAAAAAACCCCCAAACGUAUAGUCUCUGGGGAUUUUUUUGAGUGAUUCUCUUUCUUAUUCUAAAUUUCAAAAAUUUAGUAUAAAAUCUGGAGAUUUUGGAUUGAAAGAAUUUCCUCAAAAAUCUUUCCUGCUGAUUGUCCCCUUGCCUUGUACAUUUUUACUGAAAAGUGUUUUAGAAAACGCCUUUGAUUUUCAUAAAGAGCUUUCAAAAAUUUACUUGAUUUGUUCUUCAAUACAUGUAUUGAAGAACCACUCACUUGGUUCUUUCCAAAUUUUUCAAAUUUGGAAUGAAAAAGGAGUGAAAGUAUCUUAACGAGUAGUACACAGUUUUUGAGGAGUUUCCAGCAUAUAGUUUAGUUUUACUAAGGCUAGCGAUUCUAACUUCUUUGAAAAUUUAUCCAAUUUUCAAAGAAGUCGAGCGUAAAUGAAAUGCAUUUAACCUUAGGACCGUCAGAGUUACGGCCGCCGUUUACUGGGCCUUGAAUUCAGAGCUUGUCUCCUAAAAGAGACGUACCCUUCCUGUUAAGUUUCCAGCACCGGGCAGGUGUCAGACCCUAUACAUCGUGUUACCACUUAGCAGAGUCCUGUGUUUUUAGUAAACAGUCGCCACCCCCUAUUCUGUGCCACAUGGAAGUUUUGUUUUCAUUGUUCUUUUCUUUUCAAGUAAAAGAAAAGAACAAUGAAAAACAAACAUUUCAUGUCCUCCUUAUUCCGAAGUUACGGAGGUAAUUUGCCGAGUUCCUUCAACAUGAUUCUCUCUUAGCCUUAGUUUUUACAACAAGUCCACCAGUGUCGGUUUAAGUACGGUGUUUUUUUCUUUUCUUUUUGUUUUUCUUUAUGGUUCUUUUCUUUUCUAUUUUUUUAAAAAUAGAAAAGAAAAGAACCAUAAAGAAAAAAAUUGAAAAAAUCUAGUUUUUUCCUGGACCAUGUGACACUGUCUUCUCUUUUUAAAAAGAGAAUGCCUCUCCUAUUCCAAAUUCAAAGAAUUUAGAAUGAAAUCAGAAAGUCACGCAACAAGAUAUCCAGUAUCUUGCCCAGUGUCUUCUUGGCCGUCACUAGAUAAAACAUCAAUGAAUCUUAAUCAUUGUGCCCAUUACUCAAAAGCUAUCGCUCUAAGCUUAGGGGCCGAUUCACUCUACACCGAGAAACGGUCUGUAGAAAACCUAGGACUUUCGGCUAUCAUGAUUUUCACAUGAUUUUUCGUUACUCAUGUCAGCAUUCUCACUUCUGAUAUCUUAAUUUCAUUUUACAAUGAAACAUCAAUGAUUUACAGAACGUUCUGCUACCUUUUCAUUUUUUACCUUAAAACCCAGUUUUAAGGACAAGAACGAAAAUCGCCGCUUCGGUGAAUAUCUUGAGCUCCGAUACAUUUUAGGUGCUCCUAGACAGUGACAACUCCGUAGUGACAACUACGUGUAGUUGUCAGCAGUUGUCAACAGACCAGUGAGCUAUUACGCUUUCUUAAAAGGAUGGCUGCUUCCAAGCCUACCUCCUGGUUGUCUUCGCCUAGAAACUUCCUUUACCACUCAGAAAUUGCUUGAGAACCUUAGCGUUCGAUCAGGGUUGUUUCCCUUUUGACUAGAAACCUUAGCGCCUCUAGUCUGUCUGUAUACAUAGUAACAAGGUAUUCGGAGUUUCCAUGGGAUCAGUAAGGCUUUGGGCCACCAUCACCCAACGAGUGCUCUACCUCCUUUUUACUUUUCAUGUAUACGCUCUACCUCAAUAGAUUUCGCAGAAAACCAGCUAUUUCCAAGCUCGAUUGGCUUUUCACCCCAUAAUCACAAGUCAUCCCCAUCUAUUGCCACAGAUGUGGGUUCGGUCCUCCAAAACGUAUUAUCAUUUUUUCAACCUGCUCAUGAUUAGAUCGCUUGGUUUCGGGUCAAAUUUAAGAAACUUGUUUGAUUCCUCUAAAAAAAAAAGGAACAAUUAACUUGCUCUUUUAAAGCUUGCUUUAACUCCGCCUCCACCUAAGAGCUUAGGCUUGCUUCAUAAAUUUACUCGCUGACCCAUUAUGCAAAAGGUACGCCGUUACUUUUAUUUUAAAGCUUCGACUGCUUGUAAGCAUUCAGUUUCAGGAUCUGUUUCACUCCCUAUUUAGGGGUCUAUUUCACCUUUCCCUCACGGUACUUGUUCACUAUCGAUCAGAAGAAUGUACUUAGGCUUAGAGGGUGGUCCCCCUAAUUCAAACAAAGGAGAUCUUCGUUUUACUCGUGUUUUCAUUCUUUUUCCAAUUAACAUAGGUUUACGGGGCUAUCACCUUCUUUGGCGUGGUUUUCCAACCAACUUCAAUAUAAAAAAUUUUGAAAGAAUGAAGGCCUAAUCCGUGUUCGCUCACCACUACUAACGGAGUCUCGGUUGAUUUCUUUUCCUCUAGUUACUUAGAUGUUUCAGUUCACUAGGUCAAAUGUAAUCUUGUAGUUUCCUUAAGGGAAAUCCAUAGUUCUCGGGAUUUUCGCACCUUACUUAUGGCGUUUCGUUGCGUUUAACGUCCCUGAUCUUCUUCUGUCUAGGCAUUCACUAAAUGCUCUUAAUAGAUAA